AUGGAGGAGGUACUGGAUUUAACCAGAAUUCCAGGCUUACACAGUUCAAAGGAUGUUCUCCUCCAGAACCAGUGUCAGUGUUAUAAAGUGCAAAAUGUUGCACUCAGAGUGGCUGCAGAAGUUGAAUGAGGCAGAAUAUUGAAGAAAGAGAAAGAAAUAUCAAGUAAGUAAGAAAAGUCUUGCAAAAAUUAUUUUUAGUCCUAUCCUCCUUCUGCCUGGAAAAUUAUUUUGCUUAGCACAUCUUCAGAUUUGGUGGGGAAUUGCAUGGUUUUAUUUUCGGGGUGUU
Molecule: long non-coding RNA, 286 nt
Filed under: Coturnix japonica (Japanese quail)
Lineage: Eukaryota; Metazoa; Chordata; Aves; Galliformes; Phasianidae
Description: lncRNA (ENSCJPG00005011095.1)
Source: RNAcentral